UCAGCUAAUACCGCAUACGUCUUGAGAGAGAAAGCAGGGGACCUUCGGGCCUUGCGCUAUUCGAGCGGCCGAUAUCUGAUUAGCUAGUUGGUGGGCUAAAGGCCUACCAAGGCGACGAUCAGUAGCGGGUCUGAGAGGAUGAUCCGCCACACUGGGACUGAGACACGGCCCAGACUCCUACGGGAGGCAGAGUGGGGAAUUUUGGACAAUGGGCGCAAGCCUGAUCCAGCCAUCCCGCGUGUCUGAAGAAGGCCUUCGGGUUGUAAAGGACUUUUGUCAGGGAAGAAAAGGCUGUUGCUAAUAUCAGCGGCUGAUGACGGUACCUGAAGAAUACGCACCGGCUAACUACGUGCCAGCAGCCGCGGUAAUACGUAGGGUGCGAGCGUUAAUCGGAAUUACUGGGCGUAAAGCGGCCGCAGACGGUUACUUAAGCAGGAUGUGAAAUCCCCGGGCUCAACCCGGGAACUGCGUUCUGAACUGGGUGACUCGAGUGUCUCAGAGGGAGGUAGAAUUCCACGUGU
Molecule: ribosomal RNA, 521 nt
Filed under: Neisseria meningitidis
Lineage: Bacteria; Pseudomonadati; Pseudomonadota; Betaproteobacteria; Neisseriales; Neisseriaceae
Description: bacterial SSU rRNA
Rfam family: Bacterial small subunit ribosomal RNA
Source: RNAcentral